UUUUCCGGUUAUUACCCGUCCCCUUGUGUGUUAUGAAGGGGACACUUUUUCAUUUGUUCCCUUUGUCUCUCAUCUGUUGUCCUGCAGCUGGCCUAAAGGACAAUGUUUUUGAGCAUGUCCAGUAUUCAGCUAUUCUGAUUGUUUAAUCUUUCUUACUUUCUCAGUACUGAACCACUGCGAGGUCCACCGCAUCCCCUCUGUCGUUUACCAGUGUUACAGCGACGUCAUUGGCCCAGACUCCGUCACCAUGGAGACAUUCAAACCCACACUAACCAAACUCGGCAAGUCCAUAAAGUUGGACCCUUCUCCGAGCACAGACAUCCUCCGCAAGAUCGUCAGAACCACCAACAUCCAGAGUAAUCUUUAUAUCUGAUAAUGUCUAUGCAAUUUACACAAGUGGUUAAAUACUGUCAUUUUUUAAUAAAGAAAUUAAAGUAAA
Long non-coding RNA from Notothenia coriiceps (black rockcod), 439 nucleotides. RefSeq lists it as uncharacterized. The record is from RefSeq and is a predicted model, not a curated record. The transcript has 2 exons. NCBI's taxonomy places the organism in Eukaryota, Metazoa, Chordata, Actinopteri, Perciformes, Nototheniidae.